Molecule: non-coding RNA, 311 nt
Organism: Pelobates cultripes (western spadefoot toad)
Lineage: Eukaryota; Metazoa; Chordata; Amphibia; Anura; Pelobatidae
Source: the annotation of a GenBank genome assembly
UUUCAAGUUAUUUUUAUUGUUUGCCUUGUCAUUUGUUAACAUUACUGGCGGAUCUUGUGCCCUCUCACGUUUAACUAUGACUAUGUUUAACAAAUCAGACCUGAUCCUAGGCCAAGACCCGCCAAAAAGGGCCGGUAGAAAUACGAGAAAUACCCAGGAUUCCCUCUCCCCAGACUGUGACUCCAGCGUCCGCCUAUUAUCUAAAUCUGAAUAUGUAGCUCUAGCCAUUUCCCUUUUUGGGGUUCCUGGCCUUGCUUCACGCAAUACUAGAACUAUUAAUGCAUUGGCCUGUUCCCUAGCAAAGGGUCUGA